This 836-nucleotide unclassified non-coding RNA is filed under the name Amphibalanus amphitrite. RNAcentral describes it as "uncharacterized LOC122389598, transcript variant X2". Lineage: Eukaryota; Metazoa; Arthropoda; Thecostraca; Balanomorpha; Balanidae. The record is from RNAcentral.
AAGAAGUGCAAGUUUGGAGUGUCAUCUAUCACCUACCUGGGACACCGCAUCAGCGCGGACGGCGUGAGUCCGACCGACGACAAGCUGCUGGAGACUUGCCAGAGCCCGGCGAGACUCUGCACCUGGUGGAGAUGAUGGACGCUUCGCCAGUGACCGCCGCUGUGGUUCGACUGGCGACUGAACGUGACGCCACCCUCAGCAGAGUGCUGCAGUACACCCGAGACGGCUGGCCUGAGGACAGGAGCGGCGAGUCACCGGAGUUAAGUGCAUAUCGCACGAAGCAAGGUGUCGGGACUGGCCGGCGUCGGCAGGACAACACGCUGGCUACCCGGACACUGCAUCAACAUCUCGGGACUCAAGCUCACGGUCCGGCUGGACGACGGACGAGUCCUCCAGCGCCAUCUGGACCAGGUGGUCCCGAGAGCGGUCGCCGGGAACCAGGCCGUCCGACAGCCGACGGACUGGACGGCGGCGCCGCGGCCUCCUCAAACGCCGCCGACGUCGCUGCCGACAACUCCAACGUCGCAGGCGACGCCUUCACCGCCGACGCCCUCACCGCCGACGCCUUCACCGCCGACUCCCACGCCGCUUCCGCCACCGCCAGCGGAAUGUCCGGAACGGGAGAGGCCUUCGUCUCCCUCCCCAGUGGGGCGGCCGGCUCGUGGGUUGGAGGGACGGGGUGAGCUCAACUCGCGAUUGAAGUGUGACGUCCAAUUGUCGCGAGGCGAGAGUGUUGAGUGUCGCGAGCCUGUGUCAGCGCCGCAGGUACCGCGCUAUAACCUGAGACCGAGAAAAUAGUUGUUAACUAGGGGGGAGGAAUGUGGUAGAUUGUCACA